This is a long non-coding RNA of Nanorana parkeri, 142 nucleotides long. RefSeq lists it as uncharacterized. The record is from RefSeq and is a predicted model, not a curated record. NCBI's taxonomy places the organism in Eukaryota, Metazoa, Chordata, Amphibia, Anura, Dicroglossidae. The transcript is spliced from 3 exons.
GCUGGAGAGGUGGAGGACUCUGGCUUGCGCUCCAGCACAAACUGCCUGAUUUCUGCAGGGCAGAUGUGCAGGAGCUGAUCCUGGAUCAUCAGGUCCUCCAGAGCUUUGUAAGACUCUUUUUUCAGCCCCUUGGUCCACUGCU